RNAcentral lists this ribosomal RNA (2555 nucleotides) under Staphylococcus aureus. Its description in RNAcentral is "partial 23S ribosomal RNA". It matches the Rfam family "Bacterial large subunit ribosomal RNA", at positions 363 to 2925 of the family's 2925-position model. Lineage: Bacteria; Bacillati; Bacillota; Bacilli; Caryophanales; Staphylococcaceae. The record is from RNAcentral.
GGUAAUAAUCCUGUAGUCGAAAAUGUUGUCUCUCUUGAGUGGAUCCUGAGUACGACGGAGCACGUGAAAUUCCGUCGGAAUCUGGGAGGACCAUCUCCUAAGGCUAAAUACUCUCUAGUGACCGAUAGUGAACCAGUACCGUGAGGGAAAGGUGAAAAGCACCCCGGAAGGGGAGUGAAAUAGAACCUGAAACCGUGUGCUUACAAGUAGUCAGAGCCCGUUAAUGGGUGAUGGCGUGCCUUUUGUAGAAUGAACCGGCGAGUUACGAUUUGAUGCAAGGUUAAGCAGUAAAUGUGGAGCCGUAGCGAAAGCGAGUCUGAAUAGGGCGUUUAGUAUUUGGUCGUAGACCCGAAACCAGGUGAUCUACCCUUGGUCAGGUUGAAGUUCAGGUAACACUGAAUGGAGGACCGAACCGACUUACGUUGAAAAGUGAGCGGAUGAACUGAGGGUAGCGGAGAAAUUCCAAUCGAACCUGGAGAUAGCUGGUUCUCUCCGAAAUAGCUUUAGGGCUAGCCUCAAGUGAUGAUUAUUGGAGGUAGAGCACUGUUUGGACGAGGGGCCCCUCUCGGGUUACCGAAUUCAGACAAACUCCGAAUGCCAAUUAAUUUAACUUGGGAGUCAGAACAUGGGUGAUAAGGUCCGUGUUCGAAAGGGAAACAGCCCAGACCACCAGCUAAGGUCCCAAAAUAUAUGUUAAGUGGAAAAGGAUGUGGCGUUGCCCAGACAACUAGGAUGUUGGCUUAGAAGCAGCCAUCAUUUAAAGAGUGCGUAAUAGCUCACUAGUCGAGUGACACUGCGCCGAAAAUGUACCGGGGCUAAACAUAUUACCGAAGCUGUGGAUUGUCCUUUGGACAAUGGUAGGAGAGCGUUCUAAGGGCGUUGAAGCAUGAUCGUAAGGACAUGUGGAGCGCUUAGAAGUGAGAAUGCCGGUGUGAGUAGCGAAAGACGGGUGAGAAUCCCGUCCACCGAUUGACUAAGGUUUCCAGAGGAAGGCUCGUCCGCUCUGGGUUAGUCGGGUCCUAAGCUGAGGCCGACAGGCGUAGGCGAUGGAUAACAGGUUGAUAUUCCUGUACCACCUAUAAUCGUUUUAAUCGAUGGGGGGACGCAGUAGGAUAGGCGAAGCGUGCGAUUGGAUUGCACGUCUAAGCAGUAAGGCUGAGUAUUAGGCAAAUCCGGUACUCGUUAAGGCUGAGCUGUGAUGGGGAGAAGACAUUGUGUCUUCGAGUCGUUGAUUUCACACUGCCGAGAAAAGCCUCUAGAUAGAAAAUAGGUGCCCGUACCGCAAACCGACACAGGUAGUCAAGAUGAGAAUUCUAAGGUGAGCGAGCGAACUCUCGUUAAGGAACUCGGCAAAAUGACCCCGUAACUUCGGGAGAAGGGGUGCUCUUUAGGGUUAACGCCCAGAAGAGCCGCAGUGAAUAGGCCCAAGCGACUGUUUAUCAAAAACACAGGUCUCUGCUAAACCGUAAGGUGAUGUAUAGGGGCUGACGCCUGCCCGGUGCUGGAAGGUUAAGAGGAGUGGUUAGCUUCUGCGAAGCUACGAAUCGAAGCCCCAGUAAACGGCGGCCGUAACUAUAACGGUCCUAAGGUAGCGAAAUUCCUUGUCGGGUAAGUUCCGACCCGCACGAAAGGCGUAACGAUUUGGGCACUGUCUCAACGAGAGACUCGGUGAAAUCAUAGUACCUGUGAAGAUGCAGGUUACCCGCGACAGGACGGAAAGACCCCGUGGAGCUUUACUGUAGCCUGAUAUUGAAAUUCGGCACAGCUUGUACAGGAUAGGUAGGAGCCUUUGAAACGUGAGCGCUAGCUUACGUGGAGGCGCUGGUGGGAUACUACCCUAGCUGUGUUGGCUUUCUAACCCGCACCACUUAUCGUGGUGGGAGACAGUGUCAGGCGGGCAGUUUGACUGGGGCGGUCGCCUCCUAAAAGGUAACGGAGGCGCUCAAAGGUUCCCUCAGAAUGGUUGGAAAUCAUUCAUAGAGUGUAAAGGCAUAAGGGAGCUUGACUGCGAGACCUACAAGUCGAGCAGGGUCGAAAGACGGACUUAGUGAUCCGGUGGUUCCGCAUGGAAGGGCCAUCGCUCAACGGAUAAAAGCUACCCCGGGGAUAACAGGCUUAUCUCCCCCAAGAGUUCACAUCGACGGGGAGGUUUGGCACCUCGAUGUCGGCUCAUCGCAUCCUGGGGCUGUAGUCGGUCCCAAGGGUUGGGCUGUUCGCCCAUUAAAGCGGUACGCGAGCUGGGUUCAGAACGUCGUGAGACAGUUCGGUCCCUAUCCGUCGUGGGCGUAGGAAAUUUGAGAGGAGCUGUCCUUAGUACGAGAGGACCGGGAUGGACAUACCUCUGGUGUACCAGUUGUCGUGCCAACGGCAUAGCUGGGUAGCUAUGUGUGGACGGGAUAAGUGCUGAAAGCAUCUAAGCAUGAAGCCCCCCUCAAGAUGAGAUUUCCCAACUUCGGUUAUAAGAUCCCUCAAAGAUGAUGAGGUUAAUAGGUUCGAGGUGGAAGCAUGGUGACAUGUGGAGCUGACGAAUACUAAUCGAUCGAAGACUUAAUCAA